Molecule: ribosomal RNA, 110 nt
Filed under: Oryctolagus cuniculus (rabbit)
Lineage: Eukaryota; Metazoa; Chordata; Mammalia; Lagomorpha; Leporidae
Source: RNAcentral
GUCUACGGCCAUACCACCCUGAACGUGCCCGAUCUCGUCUGAUCUCUGAAGCUAAGCAGGGUCGGGCCUGGUCAGUACUUGGAUGGGAGAAAGGCAGAGUGACAGAGAGA